Molecule: ribosomal RNA, 1515 nt
Filed under: metagenome
Description: bacterial SSU rRNA
Rfam family: Bacterial small subunit ribosomal RNA
Source: RNAcentral
AGAGCUUGAUCCUGGCUCAGAGCGAACGUUAGCGGCAGGCCUAACACAUGCAAGUCGCGUGAGAAUCCGGCUUCGGUCGGUAGUAAAGCGGCGGACGGGUGAGUAAUACGUGGAUAAUCUGCCCUUCGGCGGGGGAUAACAGUCCGAAAGGAUUGUUAAUACCGCAUAUGUCGGCGAGGUCUUUGGAUCUUGCCGGGAAAGAUGGCUUCUUUAUGAAAGCUAUCACCGAAGGAUGAGUCCGCGUCCCAUUAGCUAGUUGGUGGGGUAAUGGCCCAUUAAGGCUUAGACGGGUAGCUGGUCUGAGAGGAUGAUCAGCCACAUUGGAACUGAGAUAUGGUCCAGACUCCUAUGGGAGGCAGCAGUGGGGAAUAUUGGGCAAUGGGCGUAAGCCUGACCCAGCCAUGCCGCGUGAGUGAUGAAGGCCUUCGGGUCGUAAAGCUCUGAGGGGAGGGAAGAAAUACCUUGUGGCUAAUAUCCACGAGGUUUGACGGUACCUCCUUAGCAAGCACCGGCUAACUCCGUGCCAGCAGUUGCGGUAAUAUGGAGGGUGCAAACGUUGCUCGGAAUCAUUGGGCGUAAAGCGCACGUAGGCGGCGCGUUAAGUUGGAUGUGAAAGUCCUCGGUUUAAUUGAGGAAGUGCAUACAAAACUGGCGCGCUUGAAUAUGGAAGAGGGUCGCGGAAUUCCCGGUGUAGAGGUGAAAUUUGUAGAUAUCGGGAGGAACACUAGUGGUGAAGGCGGUGACCUGGGUUAAUAUUGACGCUGAGGUGCGAAAGCGUGGGGAGUAAACAGGAUUAGAUAUCCUGGUAGUCCACGCCGUAAAUGAUGGAUGCUAGGUGUUGUGGGUAUUGAUUCCUGCAGCGCCGUAGUUAAUGUAUUAAGCAUCCCGCCUGGGGAGUAUGGCCGUAAGGCUAAAACUCAAAGGAAUUGACGGGGGCCCGCACAAGCGGUGGAGCAUGUGGUUUAAUUCGACGCAAUGCGCAGAACCUUACCUGGGUUAAAUCCGCCCGAAUCCUGCAGAGAUGUGGGAGUGCUCUUUGGAGAAUGGGCGAGAAGGUGCUGUAUGGCUGUCGUCAGCUCGUGUUGUGAGAUGUUGGGUUAAGUCCCGCAACGAGCGUAACCCCUGUCUUUAGUUGCUAAUGGUUUGGUCGAGCAUUCUAGAGAGACUGCCGACGUUAAGUCGGAGGAAGGUGGGGAUGACGUCAAGUCCUCAUGGCCCUUAUGCCCAGGGCUACACACGUGCUACAAUGGCCGGUACAAAGGGUUGCUAAACCGUAAGGUCACGUCAAUUCCAAAAAACCGGUCUCAGUUCGGAUUGAGGUCUGUAAUUUGACCUCAUGAAGUCGGAAUCGCUAGUAAUCGCGGAUUAGUACGCCGCGGUGAAUACGUUCCCGGGCCUUGUAUAUAUUGCCCGUCACACCAUGGGAGUCAGUUGCUCCAGAAAUGGGUUACCUAACCGUAAGGGGGGUGCUCUUUAAGGAGUGACUGGUAACUGGGGUGAAGUCGUAACAAGGUA